UCUCCUCUCAGUUGAGACUACCAAGCAGA
This 29-nucleotide non-coding RNA is filed under the name Homo sapiens (human). Lineage: Eukaryota; Metazoa; Chordata; Mammalia; Primates; Hominidae. The record is from RNAcentral.